UAUAAGUGAUGGCGACCGGCGCACGGGUGAGUAACACGUAUCCAACCUGCCGAUAACUCGGGGAUAGCCUUUCGAAAGAAAGAUUAAUACCCGAUGGUAUAAUAAAACCGACAUGGUUUAAUUAUUAAAGAAUUUCGGUUAUCGAUGGGGAUGCGUUCCAUUAGGCAGUUGGUGAGGUAACGGCUCACCAAACCUUCGAUGGAUAGGGGUUCUGAGAGGAAGGUCCCCCACAUUGGAACUGAGACACGGUCCAA
This 254-nucleotide ribosomal RNA is filed under the name uncultured bacterium. Its description in RNAcentral is "partial 16S ribosomal RNA". It matches the Rfam family "Bacterial small subunit ribosomal RNA", at positions 80 to 334 of the family's 1533-position model. The record is from RNAcentral.